Molecule: ribosomal RNA, 253 nt
Filed under: uncultured bacterium
Lineage: Bacteria
Description: partial 16S ribosomal RNA
Rfam family: Bacterial small subunit ribosomal RNA
Source: RNAcentral
UACGGAGGGUGCGAACGUUAAUCGGAAUUACUGGGCGUAAAGCGCGCGUAGGUGGUUUGUUAAGUGGGAUGUGAAAGCCCCGGGCUUAACCUGGGAACUGCAUUCCAAACUGGCAAACUAGAGUAUGGUAGAGGGUGGUAGAAUUUCCUGUGUAGCGGUGAAAUGCGUAGAUAUAGGAAGGAAUACCGAUGGCGAAGGCAGCCACCUGGACCAAUACUGACACUGAGGUGCGAAAGCGUAGGGAGCAAACAGG